This 482-nucleotide ribosomal RNA is filed under the name uncultured bacterium. Its description in RNAcentral is "bacterial SSU rRNA". It matches the Rfam family "Bacterial small subunit ribosomal RNA", at positions 30 to 507 of the family's 1533-position model. The record is from RNAcentral.
AUUGAACGCUGGCGGCAGGCCUAACACAUGCAAGUCGAGCGCGAAAAUUCCUUCGGGAAUGAGUAGAGCGGCGGACGGGUGAGUAACGCGUAGGAAUCUGCCCAGUAGUGGGGGACAACCUGGUGAAAACCAGGCUAAUACCGCAUACGCCCUACGGGGGAAAGCAGGGGAUCUUCGGACCUUGCGCUAUUGGAUGAGUCUGCGUCGGAUUAGCUUGUUGGUGAGGUAAUGGCUCACCAAGGCGACGAUCCGUAGCUGGUCUGAGAGGAUGAUCAGCCACACUGGGACUGAGACACGGCCCAGACUCCUACGGAGGCAGCAGUGGGGAAUAUUGGACAAUGGGCGAAAGCCUGAUCCAGCCAUGCCGCGUGUGUGAAGAAGGCUCUAGGGUUGUAAAGCACUUUCAGUGGGGAAGAAAGCUUGUUAGCUAAUAACUGACGAGUGUGGCAUUACCCACAGAAGAAGCACCGGCUAACUCCGUG